This is a non-coding RNA of Caenorhabditis elegans, 126 nucleotides long. Lineage: Eukaryota; Metazoa; Nematoda; Chromadorea; Rhabditida; Rhabditidae. The record is from Ensembl.
AACCUAAUUAUGGUGAGAGGAACUGAACGUGUCCUUGUUUCUCGAACAUACACACGCGUUGCUCUCGGCUUCAUACGUGAAUAGGUUAAUGUGAACCCUUCGAGAACAGGUGACUUUCACCUGCUG